This 255-nucleotide ribosomal RNA is filed under the name uncultured bacterium. RNAcentral describes it as "partial 16S ribosomal RNA". It matches the Rfam family "Bacterial small subunit ribosomal RNA", at positions 793 to 1055 of the family's 1533-position model. The record is from RNAcentral.
GUCCACGCCGUAAACGAUGGAUACUAGCUGUUCGGAGCAAUCUGAGUGGCUAAGCGAAAGUGAUAAGUAUCCCACCUGGGGAGUACGCACGCAAGUGUGAAACUCAAAGGAAUUGACGGGGGCCCGCACAAGCGGUGGAGCAUGUGGUUUAAUUCGAUGAUACGCGAGGAACCUUACCAGGGCUUAAAUGUAGAUUGACAGGACUGGAAACAGUUUUUUCUUCGGACAAUUUACAAGGUGCUGCAUGGUUGUCGU